GACGAACUGUCCAAACGUUGUUCGGAAUCACUGGGCUUAAAGGGCGCGUAGGCGGUCCGACAAGUCAGGGGUGAAAUCCUGCAGCUUAACUGUAGAAGUGCCUCUGAUACUGUCGGUCUUGAGGGAGGUAGGGGUGUGCGGAACUUCCAGUGGAGCGGUGAAAUGUGGUGAUAUUGGAAGGAACGCCGGUGGCGAAAGCGGCGCACUGGACCUCUUCUGACGCUGAGGCGCGAAAGCUAGGGGAGCAAACGGG
Molecule: ribosomal RNA, 253 nt
Filed under: uncultured bacterium
Lineage: Bacteria
Description: partial 16S ribosomal RNA
Rfam family: Bacterial small subunit ribosomal RNA
Source: RNAcentral